GACGAACUGUCCUAACGUUGUUCGGAAUCACUGGGCUUAAAGCGUGUGUAGGCGGGCCCGUAAGUGUCUUGUGAAAUCCCACGGCUCAACCGUGGAACUGCUGGGCAUACUGCGGGUCUUGGGCCAACUAGGGGCAGCCGGAACAAGCGGUGGAGCGGUGAAAUGCGUAGAUAUCGCUUGGAACGCCGAAGGUGAAAACAGGCUGCUGGGGUUGCGCCGACGCUGAGACACGAAAGCCAGGGGAGCAAACGGG
Molecule: ribosomal RNA, 253 nt
Filed under: uncultured bacterium
Lineage: Bacteria
Description: partial 16S ribosomal RNA
Rfam family: Bacterial small subunit ribosomal RNA
Source: RNAcentral